AACGAACGCUGGCGGCAUGCCUAACACAUGCAAGUCGAACGAGACCUUCGGGUCUAGUGGCGCACGGGUGCGUAACGCGUGGGAACCUGCCCUUAGGUUCGGAAUAACUCCCCGAAAGGGGUGCUAAUACCGGAUAAUGUCUUCGGACCAAAGAUUUAUCGCCUUUGGAUGGGCCCGCGUUGGAUUAGCUAGUUGGUAGGGUAAAAGCCUACCAAGGCGACGAUCCAUAGCUGGUCUGAGAGGAUGAUCAGCCACACUGGGACUGAGACACGGCCCAGACUCCUGCGGGAGGCAGCAAUGGGGAAUAUUGGACAAUGGGCGAAAGCCUGAUCCAGCAAUGCCGCGUGAGUGAUGAAGGCCUUAGGGUUGUAAAGCUCUUUUACCCGGGAUGAUAAUGACAGUACCGGGAGAAUAAGCACCGGCUAACUCCGUG
RNAcentral lists this ribosomal RNA (433 nucleotides) under uncultured bacterium. RNAcentral's name for it is "partial 16S ribosomal RNA". It matches the Rfam family "Bacterial small subunit ribosomal RNA", at positions 29 to 507 of the family's 1533-position model. The record is from RNAcentral.